ACCGUGGCUUUAGAUUGUUACU
Molecule: non-coding RNA, 22 nt
Filed under: Petromyzon marinus (sea lamprey)
Lineage: Eukaryota; Metazoa; Chordata; Hyperoartia; Petromyzontiformes; Petromyzontidae
Also listed under: 27 other names
Source: RNAcentral